UACGUAGGGGGCGAGCGUUGUCCGGAAUCAUUGGGCGUAAAGCGCGUGUAGGCGGCCCGGUAAGUCCGCUGUGAAAGUCCAGGGCUCAACCCUGGGAUGCCGGUGGAUACUGUCGGGCUCGAGUCCGGAAGAGGCGAGUGGAAUUCCUGGUGUAGCGGUGAAAUGCGCAGAUAUCAGGAGGAACACCCAUGGCGAAGGCAGCAAACUGGGCAUCAUCUGACGCUGAGGCGCGAAAGCGUGGGUAGCAAACAGG
Molecule: ribosomal RNA, 253 nt
Filed under: uncultured bacterium
Lineage: Bacteria
Description: partial 16S ribosomal RNA
Rfam family: Bacterial small subunit ribosomal RNA
Source: RNAcentral